RNAcentral lists this ribosomal RNA (898 nucleotides) under Parvulastra dyscrita. RNAcentral's name for it is "Patiriella dyscrita partial 16S ribosomal RNA". It matches the Rfam family "Bacterial large subunit ribosomal RNA", at positions 1119 to 2597 of the family's 2925-position model. Lineage: Eukaryota; Metazoa; Echinodermata; Asteroidea; Valvatida; Asterinidae. The record is from RNAcentral.
UGUCUUGGUAGAGGGCGUUAAAGCUCAUUUAUUUAAAUAAAACAUAAAUAAUUUUUGUUGAGUGCUCUAAGUUGUAAAUUAUUAUAGAAGAAUUCCAUGUAGAUUGGAAGCUAUAAUGUUGGAAUUAGUAGAGGAAUAAAAAUAUUUUUUGUGUAUUAAUCAAUCCUAACAUUGGAAAUGGAACAAUGGCUUGUAUCGAGAAGUUGGUUUGCAGGGGAUUGUCUACUAACACAAGUAGUAUUGAAGUUAGUAAAAUUAAGGGAAAGGAACUCGGCAAAAAAGUAUUUNNNNNNNNNNNNNNNNNNNNCGCCUUUUGAAAAGAUUCUAAGGUAUAAAAGGUCUUGCCUGCCCAGUGACUUUAGUUAAACGGCCGCGGUAUUUUGACCGUGCAAAGGUAGCAUAAUCAUUUGCCUCUUAAAUGGGGGCUGGUAUGAAUGGUAAGACGGAAAUAAUGCUGUCUCUCUCUUAUAUCUUGAAAUUAAUAUUCUUGUGAAGAAGCAGGAAUAAGGUCGCAGGACGAGAAGACCCUAUCGAGCUUUUAGUAGAAGAAAGGUGUAGUUAUUUUUUAUGUUUCUGUUGCUAAUUAACUGCUAGAGGUGGUACUAAAUUUACUACAGAAGUGAGGAUAUUGUGCGUUUUAUGCUUAGGUUGGGGCAACCGCGGAGGAAAUUUACCUUCCGUUAGUUUUGCUGAAAAAAUUUGCUUUUUCAGUGCAAGAUUUGUGUAAUAAGUGAUCCAUCUUAGUGGUGAUCAAAAGAAUAAGUUACCGUAGGGAUAACAGCGUAAUUUUUUUGGAGAGUUCAUAUUGAUAAAAAAGUUUGCGACCUCGAUGUUGGAUCGGGAUUUCCUGGGGAUGCAGCAGUUCCUAAGGGUUGGUCUGUUCGACCAUUAAAAUCCU